Long non-coding RNA from Lemur catta (Ring-tailed lemur), 367 nucleotides. RefSeq lists it as uncharacterized. The transcript has 3 exons. NCBI's taxonomy places the organism in Eukaryota, Metazoa, Chordata, Mammalia, Primates, Lemuridae. The record is from RefSeq and is a predicted model, not a curated record.
UUUGGACACCCAAAGUCAAGCCAUAGAGGAGUCAGGCAGAGCUACACAAAAACCUGGUCUCUGACCUCCAGGAGCUGCCCUUCCAGCAGAUAUGAAUAACUCAAAGACAACGGGACAAAUGCUGGGAAAGCAAUGGGGGCAGAGUGCCCGAGAAGCACAGAAGACAAGAACGUAAAUCCUACCUGAGGAAGGAGCAUCGACAAAUGCUUCCCAGGAGAGGUGGAAUCAAGUAGAAUGGAAAAGUGAUCUGGAUAAUCCAGCCAAGCUCAGAAUGAUUCUCCUGGACUUCCCAACAGUACAAUCAAACCAUGGGAUGUUCCAUCUCCUGCCUCAUGUUUCCUACAUGACAUGUCUCCAGGAAGACAGU